GGCGGGCCUCCCCGCAUUGCAAGGUAGUGAACCUGGUCAGGGGCGGAAGCCAGCAGCCACAGCUAUUUAUUGCAAGUGCCGGGGGUCAGGCUCGCCACC
Molecule: signal recognition particle RNA, 99 nt
Filed under: Sulfuricella denitrificans
Lineage: Bacteria; Pseudomonadati; Pseudomonadota; Betaproteobacteria; Nitrosomonadales; Sulfuricellaceae
Also listed under: 2 other names
Description: signal recognition particle sRNA small type
Rfam family: Bacterial small signal recognition particle RNA
About the family: The signal recognition particle (SRP) is a universally conserved ribonucleoprotein involved in the co-translational targeting of proteins to membranes. Archaeal SRP consists of a 7S RNA and homologues of the eukaryotic SRP19 and SRP54 proteins.
Source: RNAcentral